RNAcentral lists this ribosomal RNA (404 nucleotides) under uncultured bacterium. Its description in RNAcentral is "partial 16S ribosomal RNA". It matches the Rfam family "Bacterial small subunit ribosomal RNA", at positions 28 to 526 of the family's 1533-position model. The record is from RNAcentral.
GAUGAACGCUGACAGCAUGCUUAACACAUGCAAGUCAACUGUGGCGGACGGGUGAGUAACGCGUAAAGAACUUACCUCACAGAUAGGGACAACAUUUGGAAACGAAUGCUAAUCUCUGAACCUGUGAGAGAGCUUUGCGUCCCAUGAGCUAGUUGGAGAGGUACCGGCUCACGAAGGCGAUGAUGGGUAGCCGGCCUGAGAGGGUGAUCGGCCACAAGGGGACUAGGACACGGCCCUUAGUCCUACGGGAGGCAGCGGUGGGGAAUAUUGGACGAUGGACCAAAGUCUGAUCCAGGAAUUCGGGGUGCACGAUGAAUUUUUCGGAAGGUAAAGUGCUUUCAGUUGGGAAGCGGUACCAACAGAAGAAGCAACGGCUAAAUACGUGCCAGCAGCCGCGGUAAUUC